UACGGGGGGGGCAAGCGUUGUUCGGAAUUACUGGGCGUAAAGGGCGCGUAGGCGGUCAGACCAAGUCGACUGUGAAAUUCCAGGGCUUAACUCUGGCGGGUCGUUCGAUACUGGUCGACUAGAGUGUAGAAGAGGAUGUCGGAAUUCCCGGUGUAGCGGUGAAAUGCGUAGAGAUGUGGAGGAACACCAGUGGCGAAGGCGGCUUUUUGGUCUGUAACUGACGCUGAGGCGCGAAAGCGUGGGGAGCAAACAGG
This 254-nucleotide ribosomal RNA is filed under the name uncultured bacterium. RNAcentral describes it as "partial 16S ribosomal RNA". It matches the Rfam family "Bacterial small subunit ribosomal RNA", at positions 524 to 776 of the family's 1533-position model. The record is from RNAcentral.